Molecule: small nuclear RNA, 277 nt
Filed under: Chinchilla lanigera (long-tailed chinchilla)
Lineage: Eukaryota; Metazoa; Chordata; Mammalia; Rodentia; Chinchillidae
Description: 7SK RNA (ENSCLAG00000021149.1)
Rfam family: 7SK RNA
About the family: 7SK was discovered as an abundant small nuclear RNA in the mid-70s but a possible function has only recently been suggested. Two independent studies have found that 7SK RNA binds the CDK9/cyclin T complex (known as elongation factor P-TEFb).
Source: Rfam by way of RNAcentral
AGUUGUAAGGGUCAUCUGGCUGCAAUAUCUUCCACCUUAUUAAUACCCAGGGUUGAUUUGACUGAUGUGGUUGUCACUGUCUCCUGCAGCUGCUCAAUCAGUUGAUGGUUUUUUCAUAGAGGAGGAAAGUUGUUCAGAAAAGAGAAUGAGUAACUGUACUCCCCUGUUAGAAACUACAACCAGCUUUCAAAGUUCAUUUGUAGGAGAACAAAGUUAUUCAAGCUUCUAAAACUCCAGGUACAUCCAAAUGAAUUCCCGCAUUUGGCAGUUUACCUUU